AGUGAACGCUGGCGGUAGGCCUAACACAUGCAAGUCGAACGGCAGCACAGUAAGAGCUUGCUCUUACGGGUGGCGAGUGGCGGACGGGUGAGGAAUACAUCGGAAUCUACUUUUUCGUGGGGGAUAACGUAGGGAAACUUGCGCUAAUACCGCAUACGACCUACGGGUGAAAGCAGGGGAUCUUCGGACCUUGCGCGAUUGAAUGAGCCGAUGUCGGAUUAGCUAGUUGGCGGGGUAAAGGCCCACCAAGGCGACGAUCCGUAGCUGGUCUGAGAGGAUGAUCAGCCACACUGGAGCUGAGACACGGUCCAGACUCCUACGGGAGGCAGCAGUGGGGAAUAUUGGACAAUGGGCGCAAGCCUGAUCCAGCCAUACCGCGUGGGUGAAGAAGGCCUUCGGGUUGUAAAGCCCUUUUGUUGGGAAAGAAAAGCAGCAGGUUAAUACCCCGCUGUUCUGACGGUACCCAAAGAAUAAGCACCGGCUAACUUCGUG
RNAcentral lists this ribosomal RNA (492 nucleotides) under uncultured bacterium. Its description in RNAcentral is "partial 16S ribosomal RNA". It matches the Rfam family "Bacterial small subunit ribosomal RNA", at positions 29 to 507 of the family's 1533-position model. The record is from RNAcentral.